This 3668-nucleotide long non-coding RNA is filed under the name Homo sapiens (human). Its description in RNAcentral is "non-protein coding lnc-PRSS3-2:12". Lineage: Eukaryota; Metazoa; Chordata; Mammalia; Primates; Hominidae. The record is from RNAcentral.
AUUACAUUUCAAAAUGAAUUUUAGAAGAAACACAUUCAAACCACAGCACAUUUCUAGACAAACUUUCAGACACAGAUGUAGAGAAAUUUUAAUGAAAUUGAAUUUUAACCAAGUGAAGACAACCCACAGAUUUGCAAAUACCCUUCUAAGAUUCUUCAAAGAUAUCUCAAUGGUUAAUCACGUUGUUUAGGAAAAUGAGAACAGUGACAGCAAGACCUUCUCAGUGGUACAAUGGCCUCAGCAGCAGUAAAAGAGGGUAGUAAACAUUAUGCAGACUUUGUGUGGGCUCUGGAUCACCCACAGAGAAGAAAGUUAUUUUGUAUGUAUGUGUGUAACUGUAUGUUUAAGAGAAAUGAACUGUUUAUUUACAGGGAUUAUUGAGGAGCAGAACCUCACUUGGGUAGAUGCAGGUGUAACUUUUAAGAUCAAUAUCCAUGGCUUUGAAUAGAUAGGCUAGAGAUACAGCAGAUUUACUUAGUUCCCCAAAGAUGCAUGUUGGGUGAUACCCACCUAUAUUAGUUUUCCAAUUACUGCAAAUUCAGUAGGUUAAAGUAACAAUUGUCUUAUCUCACAGUUCUGUAUGUCUGAAGUCCAGGAAAGUAUGGCUGGAUUUUUCUCAGGGUCUUAUAAGGUGGAAAUCAAGGGGUCAGCUGUCUGCAUUUUCAUCAGGAGAUUGGCUACUCCUCCUAGAUUAUUCCUAGUACUGGUAGAAUUUGGUUCCUUGUGACAGCAGGUCUAGGGUCUCCAUUUUUUAUUGGCUGUCAGCUCCUUGCAGUUUCUUUCUGGUCCCCUUGAUCUUCAAAUGCACAUCAAAUCUGUCUCAUGUUUAAAAUCCUGUGAUACCCACUUCUGCUUCAAGACAGAAAACUCUGCAUUUAAAGGGCUCUGGUGAUUAGGUUAGGCCAACCUGAAUAGUAUUUAUUUUGUCAAAUAAUGUAACAUAAUCGCUGGAGUGACAUAUCAUAUUUUUAGGUUCCACUCAUGCUGAAAGUGAAGGACAUUAUACAUGGGCAUGAGUCACUGGAGGUCAUUCUUGGAAUUCUGCCUACCAUACCAAUGGAGAUCAAAUGCCAGGAAAGUCAGGAAUAGAAAUUCAGAGAGCAUACAAUCAAAUAUAUUAAAUUAGAAUUCAAAACUAUUCAAGAGAUGGUUCAGAGUUUUGGCCAAGCAGUGGAUCAAAUUUUCUUACUACUGCUUAAUCAAGGAUACAGUACAGAAGUAAAAUGAAUUGAUCUUUAUUAAAAUGGAGCAAAGACCAGGUCUAGGAAGGAAAGGCAAGAAGGUGGAAUAGAUUUGCUCUUACUGGAAGAACACUGGAGAUUCAAGACAAGAAACAGAAUUGUUUUAGUCCCUGAGUUAACAAAUAAAAGAAAGAUGAGACCAGAACAGUUGUCAAUGAAGGAGCAGUGAAGUAGAAAGGAAGGAUGGAGUGAAUGUGGAGAGCACUUUUCUGAAGAGAAUAAACUUAGUUGUCAGAUGAAAGGAGAUUUAUAAUUAGCUUUGUCCUUACAAAUUUUGAGGUAACUUACCAUGGAAAUACUUUUUCUUAUCAGUUGAUUAAUCUGGGGGGAGGUAGCAUAAUCCUUUGAAAUUCCAGUGCGUAGAAAACUAGGCUCGACCUCAAGAUGAAGCCUCAAAAAAGAAAUGUCUGUUAGAAUCCAGUUAACAGGAGAACACCUACUGCGACUUUAUUAUCAGCAAGUUGGUGAAAACUUCCUGAAGAAGAAAUGUGGGAUGAUACAGAAACUGAUUAAAGUCUCAGAACAGCAAAUAGUUUCUCCUCUUGUGAAUUAAUUCACCUUCCACAAUUAAACAGAGAUAACUCAGGGUACCUCAAAUACUGAUGAGCUUGACAGAAAUGAAUUGCCACCUAAUUCCAUUGAUGGAGAAAGAUAAGACAAUGAGCAAAGAAAAGGGACUUUCAGAGAGAAGAAUUGUUGAGAAGGUAGCAGUCCUUUCUCUUUCCAUGAGGUAGUUGCUAUUCAUUACUCUGUGAUGGGGACUGGGAACACAAGAAUCACCACUUAGGGAUUAAUGAAUUCAAGAUCUGUACCUUCCAUUUUGAUCCAAAUUUGAACUUAAAUUUAUUCAGGACACCAACUGAAUACUUCUACCUAAAGGUAAAACUCAUAUCAUAUUUCCCUCCCAAGCUGCAUUUCCUCUGAGUUCCUGACUUGACGGAGUCAUUUAUUUGUACAAUAUAUGAACGCUGAGAGUUGUGCCACAUUUCUCUCUCUUUUGCCCUGGACAUCCAAUUUUUAUGCAACACUUUCAUUUCUAACUCCUAAAUAUCUUAGUUUACUAUCUCAAUCACUGCAACCACUGACAUGUUUAUGCCCUUUUUACUAGCUUGCCAAAUAAAUAUAAAAGAGCUCAUUAAUCUCUCUAGUUCCUUAUUAAUCCUCAUUUCAUCUAAUCUAGUAUUAGUAUUAUACCCAAGUAUAAUCUUCCAAAUUGCAAAAAUCUGUUUCUAUCACUCUUUCUGCAGCAUCCUUCACUGGCUCCCCCAUGGUCUACAAUAUAUACAAUCUAAGUUUUAAAAAGAAAAAAACUUAUGACUAUCCCUUAUUUUGAAAAAAGGAAAAUUAGUCCUUUACUAGAAAAAUAGCACUGUAUUAUAAUGUCAAGUUCACACUAGAGUCUACGAUGGUGUCAAAGAGCUCUAUAUUUUUCUUCUUGAGUCACUUUGAUAUCCUCCCACAGUAAGACCAUUACAGUUGGUGUAUUGGUCUGUUCUCACACUGCUAUGAAGAAAUACCUGAGGCUGUGUAAUUUAUAAAGCAAAGAGGGUUAAUUGGUUCACAGUUCCACAUUGCUGGGGAGGCCUCAGAAAACUUACAAUCAUGGUGGAAGGCAAAAGAGAGGCAGGCACCUUCUUCACAGGGUGGCAGGAUGGAGUGAGUGCCAGCAGGGGAAAUGCCAGAUGCUUGUAAAACCAUCAGAUCUCGUGAGACUCACUCAUUAUCAUGAGAACAGCAUGGGGGAAACUGCUCCCAUGAUUUAAUUACCUACACCUGGUGCCACCCUUGACACGUGUGGAUUAUAGAGAUUAUAAUUCAAGGUAAGAUUUAGAUGGGGACACAGAGCCAAACCAUAUCAGUUGGGUACUGAGAAGGACAUACUGUAUUAAUCAUGCCUUCUUAUUGUCUGUAUUUUCUAAUGUUUUGACAUCCAUAUUUUCUGAUGUUUUGACAUCUGGGGACUUGCUGAUCUUGGAGGGACUGACCCUCUCAGGGUUAACUCAUUCCUAGGGGUAGCAAACUGCUUUCCCUAGAGCAUGCCUUUCAUAUCAAAUCAACCAAUCCAAACCUCUACUCCAACCCACCUUCUUUAUUGGGCUCUCAUACUCUGAGCCCCUAUUCUCCUACCCUAAUUACCACAGGGCCAGGUACUAAACAACUUGAGAUAAUCCCUACACUUUGUAGCCUGCUCAAAAAUUUAAACCAGCCAAUGCUAAACCUAUUUAGCCUGUGUACCCUGCCUCACUCAUUUGUUCAGUGAAAACCACAAUAAAGUUUCUUGCCAAUGUUUCCUGUCACUCCUUCUAUCUUCUGACCCACUGUUGUGAUUCUUAUUGCUAUGAUUUUUUUCUAACUUGGUCAUGAGGUCUCUCUUUUUAGACUAGCCAUAAACCAAUAUAGCCACUCUCUAGGAGACCUCUGACUCAG